GGAUGCGAGGGCGAUCUGGCUGCCGCAGCUGUCACCCCAUUGAUCACCAGCGCUGACUUGGCUGCUCCGGCUGGCUGAGCAGGUGUCCCCUUCCUCCCUCACUGCUCCAUGUGUGUCCCUCCUGAAGCUGUUCACUGGGCGGAAGAGGAGGACAUUCUUCAGUCAAGAGUAUACGAGUAGCUGUGCUCCCCUUCUAGAACCUCCAAACAAGCUCUCAAGGUCCAUUGGUAGAGGAAUGUUGGGUAGCCAAGCUUCCAAGACUCCAGACACACCCAAAUGAGGUGCCACAUGCCUGUGACAGUCUGUUUUCUUU
This is a non-coding RNA of Felis catus (domestic cat), 313 nucleotides long. It matches the Rfam family "7SK RNA". Rfam says of the family: 7SK was discovered as an abundant small nuclear RNA in the mid-70s but a possible function has only recently been suggested. Two independent studies have found that 7SK RNA binds the CDK9/cyclin T complex (known as elongation factor P-TEFb). The record is from Rfam. NCBI's taxonomy places the organism in Eukaryota, Metazoa, Chordata, Mammalia, Carnivora, Felidae.